Molecule: ribosomal RNA, 515 nt
Filed under: Scheffersomyces stipitis
Lineage: Eukaryota; Fungi; Ascomycota; Pichiomycetes; Serinales; Debaryomycetaceae
Description: eukaryotic LSU rRNA
Rfam family: Eukaryotic large subunit ribosomal RNA
Source: RNAcentral
GAAAUCUGGCACCUUCGGUGUCCGAGUUGUAAUUUGAAGAAGGUAACUUUGGAGUCAGCUCUUGUCUAUGUUCCUUGGAACAGGACGUCACAGAGGGUGAGAAUCCCGUGCGAUGAGAUGUCUGAUUCUAUGUAAAGUGCUUUCGAAGAGUCGAGUUGUUUGGGAAUGCAGCUCUAAGUGGGUGGUAAAUUCCAUCUAAAGCUAAAUAUUGGCGAGAGACCGAUAGCGAACAAGUACAGUGAUGGAAAGAUGAAAAGAACUUUGAAAAGAGAGUGAAAAAGUACGUGAAAUUGUUGAAAGGGAAGGGUUUGAGAUCAGACUUGGUAUUUUGUAUGUCUUGCUUUCGGGUGGGGCCUCUACAGUUUACUGGGCCAGCAUCGGUUUGGACGGUAGGAUAAUGACAUUGGAAUGUGGCACCACUUCGGUGGUGUGUUAUAGACUUUGUUGAUACUGCCUGUCUAGACCGAGGACUGCGUCUUUGACUAGGAUGCUGGCAUAAUGAUCUUAAACCGCCC